This 134-nucleotide non-coding RNA is filed under the name Flavivirga aquatica. RNAcentral describes it as "Algibacter sp. SK-16 SAM riboswitch aptamer (S box leader)". It matches the Rfam family "SAM riboswitch aptamer (S box leader)". Rfam says of the family: The SAM riboswitch is found upstream of a number of genes which code for proteins involved in methionine or cysteine biosynthesis in Gram-positive bacteria. The SAM riboswitch acts at the level of transcription termination control. The predicted structure consists of a complex stem-loop region followed by a single stem loop terminator region. Lineage: Bacteria; Pseudomonadati; Bacteroidota; Flavobacteriia; Flavobacteriales; Flavobacteriaceae. RNAcentral also lists the same sequence under 1 other name. The record is from Rfam by way of RNAcentral.
AUGUUAUCAAGAAAGGUAGAGGGAUUAGACCCAAUGAAGCCUUGGCAACCCUUUACAUGUCCCCGAUGCCUAUUGGGGCAUUAAAGAAGGUGCUACGUUCUACUAGAAUCAAAAAGAUACUAGAAAGAUAACGA